This 651-nucleotide ribosomal RNA is filed under the name Triticum aestivum (bread wheat). RNAcentral describes it as "partial small subunit ribosomal RNA". Lineage: Eukaryota; Viridiplantae; Streptophyta; Magnoliopsida; Poales; Poaceae. The record is from RNAcentral.
AUGGCCGAGGCCACCUUCCACCACUUCUCUGGCGUCCUUGGCACGACUGAGGCGCGUGAGUUCUCGAUCGAUCAGUCGCUCCUUCAGCAGUAUGCCUCCCCCCUUGAUGACCUCGACGAGCCUUUCUCCGAGGAGGAAAUCUGGCGCACGGUCAAGUGCUUACCUUCUGGCAAAGCGCCAGGACCGGACGGCUUCACGGCAGAGUUUCUUCGGGCUUCCUGUGACAUCAUCAAGCAAGAUAUUUGCGACGCGUUCAACAAGUUCUACGCCGCCAACGGGCGUAGCUUCCAAAAACUUAACGAGGCCCUCCUCACCGUGCUCCCCAAGCAUGCGGACGCAGCGGCGCUCUCCGAUUAUCGUCCCAUUAGCCUCAUCCACCUCAUCGCCAAGCUCUUUGCGAAGGUGCUCUCGCUACGCCUCGCACCAAAGAUCGACGCCAUGGUUUCAACUAACCAAAGCGCAUUCAUCGUCGGGAGAUGCAUCCACGACAAUUUCCUCCUGGUUCAGCAGACGGCCCGCCUCCUCCACAACCUCAAGUCGCCGCGCAUGUUACUCAAGCUCGACAUUGCUAGGGCCUUCGAUAGCAUCUCUUGGCCUUUCCUUCUGGAGACGAUGCGACACCUCGGCUUCGGGCGCCGUUGGAGGGACUAG